Molecule: long non-coding RNA, 1005 nt
Organism: Hemicordylus capensis (graceful crag lizard)
Lineage: Eukaryota; Metazoa; Chordata; Lepidosauria; Squamata; Cordylidae
Exons: 3
Source: RefSeq, a predicted model, not a curated record
GGGGUCGGAGUUAGAGGUGGAUCAAUUCAAAUUUCAAGCUAGUUCAAGACGGUGAAACCCUCCAUGUGCAGGGCAAAAUAAGUGGAAUUACAUAGCAGGUUGUCAGAACUGGAGUAAGCAAUGUGAGUCAAAUUCUAGCUGAGAAAAUUUUGCUGGUGCUUGGAUUUGGACCAGGAUAUUUAAACCACCUUCUCCUGCAAGCUCCUGCAAGUCCACUGAGGUCACCUUUGUGGGUCCUGCUCCGCAUCCCACCUUUGUCCGAGGUGCAGUUGGUGGGAACACGGCCUUUUCAGCGGUGGCACCUAAAUUACAGAACUCUUUGCCCUGGAGGCUCAUCUUAUAUCCUCUUUGGUGUUUUCACAUCUGGUGAAGACUAUUUCGCCAUGCUUAUGGGCUUGAAUGACUCUUGGCAUUUAAAAAAAUCAAAUGUUUGUUUGUUUGUUUGUUUGUUUGUUUAUACGUUUUAUAUCCCGCUCUUCCUCCAAGGAGCCCAGGGCGGUAUAUUGCAUUAUAUCUAUUUUUGUCUGGUUUUUUGUUUUUUAUAACUUUGUUGUUACGUCUUUUGGGACCAAAAGGCAUAUUAUAAAUAGAUGAUACACAAAAUGUUGAUUUACUUUCAACAGGAUAGAACUUAAUAGACUAUUCAAAAAAUAAUUCUUAAAAAAAUUCUAGGGAUGUUCAUUCUUAAUCCAUCUUAUUUUUAUUUAUUAUUUCUCUGUGUAAACCACUUCGGAAACUUUUUGUUGUUGAAAAGUGGUAUAUAAAUAUUUGUUGUUGUUAAUAAUUAAUAGCACCAACUCCAACUGCAGUCCUCAAUAAGGAUAGCAGAAUGCUAAGAAGUGGACCAAAUGUGAUCCUAAAAAAUUGCUUUGCAGAGUUUCCAAUUAGGACAAGCUACUGUGUGGCUAGAUUUACCAGUUUGCCUUUUAUCCAGUGUGUCUUCUAACAGGGAUUCCCAGAUGUUGCUGACUACAACUCCCAUAAUUCCUAGCCAAAGGCCAUCAU